CCUACGGGCGGCUGCAGUGGGGAAUAUUGCACAAUGGGCGCAAGCCUGAUGCAGCCAUGCCGCGUGUGUGAAGAAGGCCUUCGGGUUGUAAAGCACUUUCAGCGGGGAGGAAGGCGGUGAGGUUAAUAACCUCAUCGAUUGACGUUACCCGCAGAAGAAGCACCGGCUAACUCCGUGCCAGCAGCCGCGGUAAUACGGAGGGUGCAAGCGUUAAUCGGAAUUACUGGGCGUAAAGCGCACGCAGGCGGUCUGUCAAGUCGGAUGUGAAAUCCCCGGGCUCAACCUGGGAACUGCAUUCGAAACUGGCAGGCUAGAGUCUUGUAGAGGGGGGUGGAAUUCCAGGUGUAGCGGUGAAAUGCGUAGAGAUCUGGAGGAAUACCGGUGGCGAAGGCGGCCCCCUGGACAAAGACUGACGCUCAGGUGCGAAAGCGUGGGGAGCAAACAGGAUUAGAUACCCCAGUAGUC
RNAcentral lists this ribosomal RNA (465 nucleotides) under uncultured Klebsiella sp. RNAcentral's name for it is "bacterial SSU rRNA". It matches the Rfam family "Bacterial small subunit ribosomal RNA", at positions 338 to 795 of the family's 1533-position model. The record is from RNAcentral. Lineage: Bacteria; Pseudomonadati; Pseudomonadota; Gammaproteobacteria; Enterobacterales; Enterobacteriaceae.